UUUCAUUAGGGUAAAGAAAAGGAGGGGCCCGAAGUAAAGUACAGCAAAACUACAAUCAGCGUCGGUUGACGAAAAAAAAGAAAACCGAAUUUAAGUGGAGGAUGUGCAAAAAGGGGAGGUUGAGUGAAAUUAUACAAAGAGAGUGCAAAUUCUUUCAAAAUGUGAGCAAACUAACAUUCAAGACAUUCGAUCCAUUCUUCUUCUUUUCGGUGAAGCGAAAUGGCCGAGGCUGUUGUUUCCGGUGUCGUGACAAGGAUUGGUGACUUGCUCGUACAAGAAGGAAAAUUCUUGUCCGGGGUGAGUAACCAAGUUGAGCUGCUACAAUCUGAGCUCAAUCUGAUGCAAGGCUUGUUAAAAGAUGCAGAUGCGAGGCAGGAUGAAUCAGAGACUGUAAGACGGUGGGUUGCUGAAAUAAGAGAUCUUGCUUAUAAUGCAGAUGAUAUUAUUGCGACUUAUGCUCUCACAGUUGGAUCCAGAGAGGGAGGAGGUGUACAAAAGGUCCUCAAGAGGUGUAGUUGCAUCUUUGAUGAAGGAAUUACAGUGCACCAGGUUGGGUCAAAGAUUGAAGAUAUCAUGACAAAAAUUUCUAGUUUGAAAACAAGUUUUCGAGACUAUGGGAUAAGAGAAUCUAUGAUAAGAGGAGGCGGAUCCAGUUCUUUUAAUGAGAGGAAGCGAGAGGAAAGGCAAACAUUUUCUCAUCUUGACCAUGACGUCGUUGGGUUUGACGAUGAUCUAAAUAAAUUGGUGGAGUUUUUGCUGAAAGAAGGGGAAGGCAAAAGAGUCGCUUCCAUAUGUGGUAUGGGUGGUCUGGGGAAGACCACUCUUGCCAAGAUGGUUUAUAACCACCCCGAAGUCAAGAAGCACUUUGAGUUCCGCACUUGGUCAUAUAUCUCACAACAAUGUCAAAGAAGACGUGUUUGGGAAGAAAUUCUGAUCAAGCUUCUCUCUCCAACUAAAGAGAAAAGGGAUGAAAUUCAAAAGUUGACAGAUGCAGAGAUCGUUGAGAAACUUCGUGAAGUUCAACUCCAGAAAAAGUGUUUGGUGAUUAUAGAUGAUAUUUGGGAUAUUGAGACUUGGAACAGUCUACGCGAUGCUUUCCCAUUGAAGAAUAUUGGCAGUAAAAUUCUGCUUACCUCUCGUAAUAAACAAGUGUCUUUACAUGUAGACACCAAAGGUUUUCUUUAUGAAUUGCAAACUCUAAGUAAGGAAAGGAGUUGGGAAUUGCUCGAGAAGAUAGCAAUCUCUCGAAUAAAAGACAGUGUGACCAACACUAAUAAGCCUGAUAUCGAAAAAAUAGGGAAGGAAAUGAUUGAGUAUUGUGGAGGUUUACCGUUGGCUAUCACUGUACUCGGAGGCCUUUUAGCGACAAAGCAGACACUAGAUGAGUGGGAGGAUGUGCUUAAACAUAUUAAAUCAUACAUUUUUAAAGAAGAUGACUUACGAGUCAAUAAGGUCUUAAGUUUAAGUUAUAAUGAUUUACCUUGCCACUUGAAACCAUGCUUUCUAUAUUUAGGCCAUUUUCCAGAGGAUUUUGAGAUACUGGCAGAGGAAUUGAUUCAAAUGUGGAUGGGUGAAGGUUUUAUACUGCAAAUUUCACAUGAAGAAGAUAGUGAGGAUACAAUGGAGUACGAGGGAGAACAAUAUUUGUGGGAGCUAAUGCAAAGGUGCAUGGUUCAGGUGGGGGAAAUUAGCAAACUUGGAAGGAUCGAAACUUGCCGAAUCCAUGAUCUUAUGCGAGACUUUUGCAUUUCAAAAGCCCAACAGGAAAAUUUUCUCCAAAUCACCAAGAAAAAUAUUCACUCUAUGGAAGGAAGCCAAAGGCGUAUUGGUAAAAUUAGAAGACUUGCUAUCACUUUGGAAUCAAAUGAUAAUUUCCUCACAAGAAUUAAAUUCAGUGAAUAUCCUUACCUCAGGUUGAAGACUAUGCCAGAUGGAUUGAGGUUCGUCACAACCCUCCGGCAAUUGAAGAUCACAAACAUGUACAAGUCAUUCAAAGAUAAGCUUGACGAAGGAGGACUGGAUUUUGACAAAGUCAAACAUGUGCCUUCCCUUGUAUUUCAAAACUGUGACGGAGAAUGGGCUUCUAAUAGUGAUUACCGCGAUAAUAUUAUGCAUAAUUUUCCGUAAUGUGAAAUCAUCCAUGGUGCAAGAGUUUCUAUUCUGGUUCAAUUCAUGAAGAAUCAACAAAAGAUUUUCAGUACUUUGCAACUUGUACGGAUGAACUGGACAAGUUUGAAAAUACAUUUGGGUUGUGAAGUAAGAGAAUUCCAUGUGUGACAAAGAAAUGAGGCCCUGAUACUAUUGUAAUUAUUAGGGGCUUGUUAGCCAUUACAAAUGAAUGAUAGAAACACAAAAUUUAUUUAGUGAGAGUAGUAUCAAAUGAUUAUUCAUCUUUUAUUAGUGGCAGUGAUUAAUGAGUGUUACUAGAGCUAAAGAUAUCACACCCUCAACCCUGCCUCUUAUCUCUAAAUAUACCUAUGGUUGACAUUAUUGCAUGCAUUGAGUUAAUAACUGUGGAGGAGUUUAA
Molecule: RNA transcript, 2527 nt
Organism: Quercus lobata
Lineage: Eukaryota; Viridiplantae; Streptophyta; Magnoliopsida; Fagales; Fagaceae
Gene name: putative disease resistance protein At1g50180
Exons: 5
Source: RefSeq, a predicted model, not a curated record